RNAcentral lists this ribosomal RNA (279 nucleotides) under uncultured bacterium. Its description in RNAcentral is "partial 16S ribosomal RNA". It matches the Rfam family "Bacterial small subunit ribosomal RNA", at positions 506 to 784 of the family's 1533-position model. The record is from RNAcentral.
UGCCAGCAGCCGCGGUAAUACGGAGGGUGCAAGCGUUAAUCGGAAUUACUGGGCGUAAAGCGCGCGUAGGCGGUUAUUUAAGUUAGUGGUGAAAGCGUCCAGCUUAACUGGAUACCCGCCAUUGAUACUGGAAGGCUUGAGUAUGUCUGAGGAGAUUAGAAUGCGUGGUGUAGCGGUGAAAUGCAUAGAUAUCACGCAGAAUACCGAUUGCGAAGGCAGAUCUCUAGGGCAUAACUGACGCUGAGGCACGAAAGCGUGGGUAGCGAACAGGAUUAGAUA